RNAcentral lists this long non-coding RNA (918 nucleotides) under Chlamydomonas reinhardtii. RNAcentral describes it as "long non-coding RNA (CREI_LNC000213)". The record is from RNAcentral. Lineage: Eukaryota; Viridiplantae; Chlorophyta; Chlorophyceae; Chlamydomonadales; Chlamydomonadaceae.
GCCAGGUGCGUUUGCAGCGGGGUCAGGCAAACGCAUCGUGGCGGGGGCGCCACAUGUACACUUACAGCCCCACAAACCGCUCUAGUCAGGAUCAAGACGCCCACCCACCGGCCGUAAUCCUUUUCAGCCUUGGUCACGGGUGCUGAAGCCGAGUCGGCCCGGUGCUUGGAGAUAUAGGACGACCAGCUGUCCCAGGCAGUGGGUGUGGAGGCGGCGCUGCAGGUGACUGGAGGUGGGGGGAAGGCGGGGAAGGCUCAGCCGGGAGCAGAUACUCAGUAGAAUGCCCAGCCCCUUCAUUACUGCCUCUUACAUGCCACCAGGGCUUACCUCGCGAGCCCGCCACCAGGCGAACAGGCGCUGGGCUCCGGGCCAUCACGCUGGUCCUGGAUUUGAGCGACAUUGGAGCGCAAGUGAGUCCCCCUGCCAGUGUCUACGAAACGCUGCAAUUAAGAGCAACCUCGCCAGCCCUGCACCUGGCGAUAGAAGGCUUCGUCGACAGCAUGUUGUGUUUGGAGCUCGAAACGCUCGGCCUGUGGAAUGCAUAAACACAGCACAAUAAACGCAUGAAACGUCGUGUUCAUUCAUGCAUAAACAAUGAAACUGGCGAAAGCUGCAACGCGCUAGAACAAUCAACGAGACCAGUUUGCACGAUCCAGCGCCUCCGACAUUUACUACCGAGAAUCUAACAUGUGUAGUGCCAUACUGUGAAGGGACUUUUGGGAGACUGGUGUCCCGGACUGCUCAACGCUCAAUCUGUGCUGCGCGCCAAGGCGCAUGCUCUAUGCAGCUCUACCUGCAGUGGGUUCGAGAAUGCAGCAGGAACUGAAAUCGGCGCCUCCAGAUGUCCAGCCAAGGAAAACACGCCCGCAGCAGCCGAACUCGAGCCUCAAGUAUAAUAGUCGUGAAUAAUGUGGUGAG